Frankliniella occidentalis (western flower thrips) is the source of this 526-nucleotide long non-coding RNA. RefSeq lists it as uncharacterized. Lineage: Eukaryota; Metazoa; Arthropoda; Insecta; Thysanoptera; Thripidae. The transcript is spliced from 3 exons. The record is from RefSeq and is a predicted model, not a curated record.
GCGGUCUGAAGUUCACUUCAGUAGGAUAUUCAGUCUAUCCAGGCGAUAACACACAGCAUUGCAUUCCAUCAAUUCCCUUGCGGUUUCUUUGAGGUAGAGGAGCAGGACAGCGCGCCCCGCCCCGGCUGCCGCUCCUCGCCUCGCCCGCCCGCAGCUCGGGUCCGCUCGGCUCCGCUCGGCUCCGCCCGGCUCCGCUGCACCAGUCGCGGUGGAGGGGGCUGGCGCACAGAGCAGCCCCUGUGGCCUAAUGGAUAAGGCGUCGGUCUCCUAAACCGAAGAUUGAGGGUUCGAGUCCCUCCAGGGGAAUUCGGCCCAGAAAUGUUCUUGACACGAGCAAGAGAAGUCUAUGGAGUCAUUUUACCCAAAAGAAUAGGUGAGUUGACAUGACAGUAAUCACCAACGCUGGUCUAAUUUGUCUCUGUACAGACACCAUAAGGAGCUUCCUUUCAUGUGCAGCAAAGGGUAGUUUUUGAUGUUUUUUGUGGUGCCUUGGUUCUUUGUUGUCUAUUUCAAUUCUCCUCCAUCA